UACGAAGGGUGCAAGCGUUACUCGGAAUUACUGGGCGUAAAGCGUGCGUAGGUGGUUUGUUAAGUCUGUUGUGAAAGCCCCGGGCUCAACCUGGGAAUGGCAUUUGGGACUGCAAGGCUCGAGUGCGGCAGAGGAGACUGGAAUUCCUGGUGUAGCAGUGAAAUGCGUAGAUAUCAGGAGGAACACCGAUGGCGAAGGCAGGUCUCUGGGCUGACACUGACGCUCAUGCACGAAAGCGUGGGGAGCAAACAGG
This 253-nucleotide ribosomal RNA is filed under the name uncultured bacterium. Its description in RNAcentral is "partial 16S ribosomal RNA". It matches the Rfam family "Bacterial small subunit ribosomal RNA", at positions 524 to 776 of the family's 1533-position model. The record is from RNAcentral.